RNAcentral lists this unclassified non-coding RNA (736 nucleotides) under Saccharomyces cerevisiae (brewer's yeast). RNAcentral's name for it is "sequence contains 18S rRNA gene, ITS1, 5.8S rRNA gene, ITS2, 28S rRNA gene". The stretch from base 371 to 524 matches the Rfam family "5.8S ribosomal RNA". Lineage: Eukaryota; Fungi; Ascomycota; Saccharomycetes; Saccharomycetales; Saccharomycetaceae. The record is from RNAcentral.
GAUCAUUAAAGAAAUUUAAUAAUUUUGAAAAUGGAUUUUUUUGUUUUGGCAAGAGCAUGAGAGCUUUUACUGGGCAAGAAGACAGGAGAUGGAGAGUCCAGCCGGGCCUGCGCUUAAGUGCGCGGUCUUGCUAGGCUUGUAAGUUUCUUUCUUGCUAUUCCAAACGGUGAGAGAUUUCUGUGCUUUUGUUAUAGGACAAUUAAAACCGUUUCAAUACAACACACUGUGGAGUUUUCAUAUCUUUGCAACUUUUUCUUUGGGCAUUCGAGCAAUCGGGGCCCAGAGGUAACAAACACAAACAAUUUUAUCUAUUCAUUAAAUUUUUGUCAAAAACAAGAAUUUUCGUAACUGGAAAUUUUAAAAUAUUAAAAACUUUCAACAACGGAUCUCUUGGUUCUCGCAUCGAUGAAGAACGCAGCGAAAUGCGAUACGUAAUGUGAAUUGCAGAAUUCCGUGAAUCAUCGAAUCUUUGAACGCACAUUGCGCCCCUUGGUAUUCCAGGGGGCAUGCCUGUUUGAGCGUCAUUUCCUUCUCAAACAUUCUGUUUGGUAGUGAGUGAUACUCUUUGGAGUUAACUUGAAAUUGCUGGCCUUUUCAUUGGAUGUUUUUUUUCCAAAGAGAGGUUUCUCUGCGUGCUUGAGGUAUAAUGCAAGUACGGUCGUUUUAGGUUUUACCAACUGCGGCUAAUCUUUUUUUAUACUGAGCGUAUUGGAACGUUAUCGAUAAGAAGAGAGCG